Molecule: ribosomal RNA, 327 nt
Filed under: uncultured eukaryote
Lineage: Eukaryota
Description: partial 18S ribosomal RNA
Rfam family: Eukaryotic small subunit ribosomal RNA
Source: RNAcentral
CCCUUAGAUGUUCUCGGCCGCACACGCGCUACACUGAAAGAGGCAACGUGUUUGCCUGAUUCGAAAGAAUUGGGUAACCCCCUAAUCUCUUUCGUGCUGGGGAUUGAGGUUUGCAAUUAUCCUUCAUGAACGAGGAAUUCCCAGUAAGUGCGAGUCAUUAUCUCGCGCUGACUACGUCCCUGCCCUUUGUACACACCGCCCGUCGCUACUACCGAUUGAAUGAUUUAGCGAGGACUUCGGACUGAGUCCAAUGCGGCUUUCGGGCUGCGUUGGUAUUUCGGAAAGAUGUCCAAACUGUAUCAUUUAGAGGAAGUAAAAGUCGUAACA